GCAUUUCUGAAGAGUCCAACAAUAGAAUGAAACGGUCGUCCAAUGC
RNAcentral lists this non-coding RNA (46 nucleotides) under Schistosoma curassoni. The record is from RNAcentral. Lineage: Eukaryota; Metazoa; Platyhelminthes; Trematoda; Strigeidida; Schistosomatidae.